UGUCUAGCAAGAGAAACUUGAGGGACAGUAGGGACCAAACUGAGCUCCUUCUUUACCUCUUCAAAGGGCUCAAAAAUAACCCCAGUCAACGGCUUGUCAUUUGAACCCUUUGAUGCACAGAGAACAAACCCAGUCCCAGUUUUUCCACGAAAAAUCGUAGGAGAAAGACUAUUAAACGACGAAGAAACAGAGGAAAACAGAGGACCCAGAUUGUCUCCAUGAGUGCUCAGCAAAGAGAAAGCAGGAGCAGCCUUUAGCAACAUAUUUUUAUGGAUUUCUAAAGAAAGCUUUUUGAUUAUGAAGAAGAUGAAAGGAUUUGAAAAUGGAGAUG
Molecule: unclassified non-coding RNA, 331 nt
Filed under: Hevea brasiliensis (rubber tree)
Lineage: Eukaryota; Viridiplantae; Streptophyta; Magnoliopsida; Malpighiales; Euphorbiaceae
Source: RNAcentral